AUCCUCGACCUGCUGGGGGCAGAUGAAAUGAAUGUGGCUGUCGAUGCCCCCGGCCGUCAGGAUCCUGCCCUCGCCGGCGAUCACCUCGGUUCCCGGGCCGAUGACGAUGUCGACGCCGGGUUGCGUAUCGGGGUUGCCGGCCUUGCCGAUCUUCGCGAUCCGCCCGUCCCUGAGGCCGACAUCGGCCUUGAAGAUGCCGGUGUGAUCGACGAUCAGCGCAUUGGUGAUGACCGUAUCCAUCGCCCCCUCGGCGCGGCUCGCCUGAGACUGCCCCAUUCCGUCGCGGAU
Molecule: small RNA, 288 nt
Filed under: Oceanicella actignis
Lineage: Bacteria; Pseudomonadati; Pseudomonadota; Alphaproteobacteria; Rhodobacterales; Paracoccaceae
Description: 5' ureB small RNA
Rfam family: 5' ureB small RNA
Source: Rfam by way of RNAcentral